Molecule: ribosomal RNA, 497 nt
Filed under: uncultured bacterium
Lineage: Bacteria
Description: partial 16S ribosomal RNA
Rfam family: Bacterial small subunit ribosomal RNA
Source: RNAcentral
GAUGAACGCUGGCGGCGUGCCUAAUACAUGCAAGUCGAGCGACAGGAUAAGAAGUUUCCCCCUUUGCCGUUAGCGGGGGACGGGGGAGUAACACGGGGGUAACCUACUAUUAAGACUGGGUUAACUCCGGGAAACCGGAGCUAAUACCGGAUAAAAUUUGGAACCGCAUGUUUUUAAAGUGAAAGAGGGUUUGGCUUUCCCUAUUAGAUGGACCCGCGCCGAAUUAGCUAGUUGGUAAGGUAACGGCUUACCAAGGCAACGAUACGUAGCCGACCUGAGAGGGUGAUCGGCCACACUGGAACUGAGACACGGUCCAGACUCCUACGGGAGGCAGCAGUAGGGAAUCUUCCGCAAUGGGCGAAAGCCUGACGGAGCAACGCCGCGUGAGUGAUGAAGGGUUUCGGCUCGUAAAACUCUGUUAUUAGGGAAGAACAAAUGUGUAAGUAACUGUGCACGUCUUGACGGUACCUAAUCAGAAAGCCACGGCUAACUACGUG